AACGAACGCUGGCGGCAUGCCUAACACAUGCAAGUCGAACGAGACCUUCGGGUCUAGUGGCGCACGGGUGCGUAACGCGGGGGAACCUGCCCUUAGGUUCGGAAUAACUCCCCGAAAGGGGUGCUAAUACCGGAUAAUGUCUUCGGACCAAAGAUUUAUCGCCUUUGGAUGGGCCCGCGUUGGAUUAGCUAGUUGGUAGGGUAAAAGCCUACCAAGGCGACGAUCCAUAGCUGGUCUGUGAGGAUGAUCAGCCACACUGGGACUGAGCCACGGCCCAGACUCCUACGGGAGGCAGCAGUGGGGAAUAUUGGACAAUGGGCGAAAGCCUGAUCCAGCAAUGCCGCGUGAGUGCUGAAGGCCUUAGGGUUGUAAAGCUCUUUUACCCGGGAUGAUAAUGACAGUACCGGGAGAAUAAGCUCCGGCUAACUCCGUG
RNAcentral lists this ribosomal RNA (433 nucleotides) under uncultured bacterium. Its description in RNAcentral is "partial 16S ribosomal RNA". It matches the Rfam family "Bacterial small subunit ribosomal RNA", at positions 29 to 507 of the family's 1533-position model. The record is from RNAcentral.